GGGGCUGUAGCUCAGUGGUAGAGCGCUUGCCUCGCACGCGUGAGGCCCUGGGUUCCAUCCUCAGCACCA
Molecule: transfer RNA, 69 nt
Filed under: Urocitellus parryii (Arctic ground squirrel)
Lineage: Eukaryota; Metazoa; Chordata; Mammalia; Rodentia; Sciuridae
Also listed under: 1 other name
Description: Spermophilus parryii (Arctic ground squirrel) tRNA
Rfam family: tRNA
About the family: Transfer RNA (tRNA) molecules are approximately 80 nucleotides in length. Their secondary structure includes four short double-helical elements and three loops (D, anti-codon, and T loops). Further hydrogen bonds mediate the characteristic L-shaped molecular structure. tRNAs have two regions of fundamental functional importance: the anti-codon, which is responsible for specific mRNA codon recognition, and the 3' end, to which the tRNAs corresponding amino acid is attached (by aminoacyl-tRNA synthetases). tRNAs cope with the degeneracy of the genetic code in two manners: having more than one tRNA (with a specific anti-codon) for a particular amino acid; and 'wobble' base-pairing, i.e. permitting non-standard base-pairing at the 3rd anti-codon position.
Source: Rfam by way of RNAcentral